Long non-coding RNA from Melanaphis sacchari, 645 nucleotides. RefSeq lists it as uncharacterized. NCBI's taxonomy places the organism in Eukaryota, Metazoa, Arthropoda, Insecta, Hemiptera, Aphididae. The record is from RefSeq and is a predicted model, not a curated record. The transcript has 5 exons.
AACGCUGAUAAACGGAUGAACACUGCUCUCAGUCAGACUAAUGGAAGUGGAGACUACAACAAUUUAAAUAUACCUACCUAUUAAUAACAUAGGCCACAGUCGAUCUCAUCAAGCAAGGACUUGAAUCAUCUACUGAAUACUGAUAAUAAUCUCGGACGCAAGUAGUAUAUACUGGACGAAAUGAUAAUGGCAACACAAUUUCCAUCGUGACUUGCAAUGUGCGUAUUUGCAUUUACAAACAAGGACAAUCUGGUAAAACAUGAAAAUACUCUUGAGGAGAUUCGUUUUCUGUGCACUGCUAGUAAUUCUAUUCACAACAAUAAAGCUCAUUUAAGCAAGCAUAUGCGAAACGAUUAUGACUACUCCGCAAAUAUUUGUUGUAUCAGACGCGCAAGUAAGGCCCUCAAACCAGUGCCAAAAUGUACUUAUAUCAAAGGCACAAGACGUAGUUACGUUAAACGGCGUUAAGAAUAACGAUGAUAAAAUAUGCUCUGAAGAUUUUUUUUAAUAUUAUGUACAUCUUUCACGUAGGUAUCAAACAUUUUCGCGCUGAUAACAUUAAAACAACUAGAAAUUCAAAUAGAGGCAUUUGGUUAUGGUAAACACACCAAAGUUUGUCGAAAUCAUUUCGGCCUUUAAUAGACU